GACAUUUUGAAAUAGAAAAAUGGUCUUUAGUCCUACUUAAUAAGUUAUCUGGUGCUCCGUGACUGCAAAAAUGUUGAGAGUCAUUGCUAUAAGGCAGUCAAGUGUAUUUCUAGUAUUUUUGAAUUUAUUUUUAUUAUUAUAUGUUUAUUUGUUGAUCCAUUGUUACUAUCCAAGUUACUAAGUUAAUUCACUAUAAUAUCUAGCGUACAAAAUC
This is a non-coding RNA of Cinara cedri, 214 nucleotides long. NCBI's taxonomy places the organism in Eukaryota, Metazoa, Arthropoda, Insecta, Hemiptera, Aphididae. The record is from the annotation of a GenBank genome assembly.